CAGAUCCAAUUUUCUGCCACCGAAUACAUUAGCAUGGGAUAAUGGAAUAGGACCCUGUCCUCCUAUUUUCAGUUGGUUUUGGCAGCGCGAGGACUAGGGUAAUGAUUAAUAGGGAUAGUUGGGGGCAUUAAUAUUUAAUUGUCAGAGGUGAAAUUCUUGGAUUUAUGAAAGAUUAACUUCUGCGAAAGCAUCUGCCAAGGAUGUUUUCAUUAAUCAAGAACGAAAGUUAGGGGAUCGAAGACGAUCAGAUACCGUCGUAGUCUUAACCAUAAACGAUGCCGACCAGCGAUUAGGAGACGUUGAAUACAAAACACCACCAUCGGCGCGGUCGUCCUUGGCGUCUGUCCCUUUCAACGGGGGCAGGCGCGAGGGCGGUUUAGCCCGGCUGGCACCGGUGAAUGACUCCCCUAGCAGCUUGUGAGAAAUCAUA
Molecule: ribosomal RNA, 430 nt
Filed under: Acanthamoeba sp. AG-2012
Lineage: Eukaryota; Discosea; Longamoebia; Acanthamoebidae
Description: SSU rRNA
Rfam family: Eukaryotic small subunit ribosomal RNA
Source: RNAcentral